GGCAGCAUAGCAUAGUGGUUUGAGUGUUGUACUUUGAUUCUUCAGACCAGGGUUCAAAUCCCUGCUAAGCUA
This is a non-coding RNA of Phrynosoma platyrhinos (Desert horned lizard), 72 nucleotides long. Lineage: Eukaryota; Metazoa; Chordata; Lepidosauria; Squamata; Phrynosomatidae. The record is from the annotation of a GenBank genome assembly.